CAGAGCUAUGGGUGCUUAUGGUCUGGGUUCCAGGCUCCACUAGUGACAUUGUGCUGACCCAGGCCCCUCCUUCCUUGGAUGUUUCUCAAGGGUAGAGGGCCACCAUCUCCUGCAGGACCAGCAAAAGUGUCAGAACAUCUAGCUAUAGUUAUAUGCACUGGUACCAACAGAAACCAGGUCAGCCGCCCAAACUCCUCAAUCUAUGUGCAUCCAACCAAGUAUCUAGGGUCCCAGCCAGGUUCAGUGGCAGUGGAUCUGGGACAGACUUCACCCUCAAAAUCCAUCCUGUGGAGGAGGAGGAUGCUGCAACCUAUUUCUGUCAGCAAAGUAAUGAGAAUCCUCC
Mus musculus (house mouse) is the source of this 343-nucleotide non-coding RNA. NCBI's taxonomy places the organism in Eukaryota, Metazoa, Chordata, Mammalia, Rodentia, Muridae. The record is from the annotation of a RefSeq genome assembly.